UUUAGAUAGGUAGGUAGAAUUGUUAGAUAAAAUAGUUAGAUAGAUAAAUUGAUAGUUAGAUAGAAUUGUUAGAUAUGAAAACUAAUUUAAUUUGGUAGGUUUUGUGUAUGAAAUGCAAUGAUAGAAGGAAUAGAGAAUACUCAUGAUACUAUUUAACUAGGUGGAUGUGCUUAUAGAUAGAUAAAUAGAUAAGAAGAUAGAAUUGUUAGAUAGAGAAAUAGAUAGUUAGAUAGAAUUUUCCUCGUACGUAGGCUUGUUUACGUAGCUAGAUAUAUAGUUAGUUACAUAGUAAUAUAGUUAUUACGAUAUUUAGUUAAGUAGUUGUAUACUUAGUACAUAUUAGAUGACAUGUUAGCUUGGCGCCAAGGUGAAGAUCCAUUUUUAGAAUUAGUUUCGUCAAGGGCGUAUUUGUGAAUUUUUUUGCGAAACGGGCUAAAAUAAAAAAACUUGGCCCUCACCACCCCGACCAUCACUUACCAUCACCACGAAGCAGAUUUAAUUUGUUGCUAUGAUUUUUCCUCUAAACCAUUAGACUUGGGUGGACUCCAACCCUAAAUUCUAACCCCUGAUAAUAAAUCCUACCCUACCAAGAACUUUCCGAGGUUGGAGAAGAAUAACUUAGAUCUUGUUUGAAUCCCACCAACUAAACUUUAGCUGAGAAUCUGUUUGAAUCCCUUACCUACCAUCCAGCUAAAGUUUAGCUAUUAGCUCAUUGCUCCCAGCAAGCCAUCUAAACUUUAGCCUGCGGGAUCCAAACGGGACCUUUGAAAGUGUCGUGGGAGGGGUAGAAAAGACAAUCUUUCGUUGCCUGAAAACCCUUAGCAAGCUGGCCAUUGACAUUAGCU
RNAcentral lists this long non-coding RNA (845 nucleotides) under Setaria viridis. Its description in RNAcentral is "long non-coding RNA (SVIR_LNC010439)". The record is from RNAcentral. Lineage: Eukaryota; Viridiplantae; Streptophyta; Magnoliopsida; Poales; Poaceae.